This 74-nucleotide transfer RNA is filed under the name Evoxymetopon poeyi (Poey's scabbardfish). RNAcentral's name for it is "tRNA-Lys". It matches the Rfam family "tRNA". Rfam says of the family: Transfer RNA (tRNA) molecules are approximately 80 nucleotides in length. Their secondary structure includes four short double-helical elements and three loops (D, anti-codon, and T loops). The record is from RNAcentral. Lineage: Eukaryota; Metazoa; Chordata; Actinopteri; Scombriformes; Trichiuridae.
CACUAAGAAGCUAAACCGGGAGUAGCGUUAGCCUUUUAAGCUAAAGACUGGUGGUUCCCCACCACCCUUAAUGA